RNAcentral lists this long non-coding RNA (1158 nucleotides) under Marmota monax (woodchuck). The record is from RNAcentral. Lineage: Eukaryota; Metazoa; Chordata; Mammalia; Rodentia; Sciuridae.
AGGCAACUAGCACUCUCCCCUUUGAUUAAAAACAUCUUUUCUCUCUCUUAGGUCAAAAUAAUACAGAUGACUUCAGUUUGUCAGCCCAUGGACCUCUCAAAGAACUUAUUUCGCAAUGGCCUCCUGCAUUUGAUGAAGAGCAAGAAGCAGAUGAAUUUAAAUAUAUAUACAUAUUAACAGGACACACACACACACACACACACACAAAACCACGCACAAACCAAUUCCACUUGACCUCCUUUCUAAAUGAAACAGACAAAUAUGCAGGACACGCCCAUCCUGGAUUUCCUGAAAGCAGGCUCCUUUCUCCCAGGCCUUUAAAGUUCAAAAGGAGACGCGUUGGUGCCCCCUGCUGGCCAUUACUAACUCCUCGGCAGCCCAGCCAGUCAACCUCUGUGAGCUGCGAAGUCAUGGGGCACAUUAGUUUGAGAGCCCCGUUUUCUGCACUCCAUACAUCUUGAUAGCACCACAGCUACUUAGGCAAUGUAAUUGCAAAAAAGACAAACAAAAACAUGCCACGAUGACCUUGUAACCGAAGUUUGAAAUGGCAGGUCGUUUGCCCUAAAGGCUGUACCGUACAUACUUGCCUUAACCCACCUGCGUUGUGUGCCCGAGAAUCUCAGUGCAGACAUCCCUGAGUCAAUUCCUUUAGGCUAACACACUGCUAUUCAUUCCGAAUGAGUUCGAGUCUGUGUGUUUCGUGUCGAGAGACAAGACUGAAUAACUCAGCAGCUCCAGUGUGUCUGUGUAAGAAAACUGCCAGCUGUCAGCAAAGUGCAUUAUGUAACGUUGAGCCUCCCUGAUGGCCAAAAAGAGACAAGUACCAAUAACAACAACAAUAAUAGUCAUCUUUAUAAUUAUUAGGUAUGGUCUUCUGAUGGGGUUGGGGUGGGACAAAGUAAAAUUUAUUAAUCUACUAACUCAUUAAUCUAUUGGAAGCAGAAAGCAAAAAUGGCUUAACUCACUGAUUUUAUUUAUUGCACUCUAGGUGCUUUUAUAAGUAUCUACAAAUGUCUUUUACUAACACAGAAAACAGCUGUGGAUUUCUAUCAACCGAGGCCAACUGACUAUGUAUUAGCUAUGUUUACUCUUUUAUAUCUAAUUCAAACGGAAGACCUGAUGUAGGUGAACUUUCUUUUCUAACUUCGGCAUACAAGA